AGUGAACGCUGGCGGUAGGCCUAACACAUGCAAGUCGAACGGCAGCACAGUAAGAGCUUGCUCUUACGGGUGGCGAGUGGCGGACGGGUGAGGAAUACAUCGGAAUCUACUUUUUCGUGGGGGAUAACGUAGGGAAACUUACGCUAAUACCGCAUACGACCUACGGGUGAAAGCAGGGGAUCUUCGGACCUUGCGCGAUUGAAUGAGCCGAUGUCGGAUUAGCUAGUUGGCGGGGUAAAGGCCCACCAAGGCGACGAUCCGUAGCUGGUCUGAGAGGAUGAUCAGCCACACUGGAGCUGAGACACGGUCCAGACUCCUACGGGCGGCAGCAGUGGGGAAUUUUGGGCAAUGGGCGCGAGCCUUCUCCAGCCCUACCGCGUCGGUGAAGAAGGCCUUCGGGUUGUAAAGCCCUUUUGUUGGGAAAGACAAGCAGCAGGUUAAUACCCCGCUGUUCUGACGGUACCCAAAGAAUAAGCACCGGCUAACUUCGUG
This 492-nucleotide ribosomal RNA is filed under the name uncultured bacterium. Its description in RNAcentral is "partial 16S ribosomal RNA". It matches the Rfam family "Bacterial small subunit ribosomal RNA", at positions 29 to 507 of the family's 1533-position model. The record is from RNAcentral.